GCAGUGAGGAAUCUUGCACAAUGGGCGAAAGCCUGAUGCAGCGACGCCGCGUGGAGGAUGAAUGCCGUAAGGUUGUAAACUCCUUUUGAGAGGGACGAAAACCCAUAUUUCGUAAGGGAUAUGGUUUGACUGUACCUCUAGAAGAAGCCCCGGCUAACUACGUGCCAGCAGCCACGGUAAUACGUAGGGGGCAAGCGUUGUCCGGAUUUACUGGGUGUAAAGGGCGCGUAGGCGGAUUUGUAAGUCAGAGGUGAAAGCCCGCAGCUUAACUGCGGAACUGCCUUUGAUACUGCUUAUCUUGAGUUCGGAAGAGAGAAGCGGAAUUCCAGGUGUAGUAGUGAAAUACGUAGAUAUCUGGAAGAACACCAGUGGCGAAGGCGGCUUCUUGGUCCGUAACUGACGCUGAGGCGCGAAAGCGUGGGGAGCAAACAGGAUUAGAUACCCCAGUAGUCC
Molecule: ribosomal RNA, 453 nt
Filed under: uncultured Chlorobiota bacterium
Lineage: Bacteria; Pseudomonadati; Chlorobiota
Description: bacterial SSU rRNA
Rfam family: Bacterial small subunit ribosomal RNA
Source: RNAcentral